RNAcentral lists this long non-coding RNA (796 nucleotides) under Canis lupus familiaris (dog). RNAcentral's name for it is "lncRNA (ENSCAFG00040005880.1)". Lineage: Eukaryota; Metazoa; Chordata; Mammalia; Carnivora; Canidae. The record is from RNAcentral.
AUGGUAAUCACUUCCGUAGGCUCAUUAGCAACCUCACAGCCAUGGGUCCCACUGUCACCCCUCCUCUCGGGGGCCCCUGCUGUGGUGUUGUCAUACCCUGUGUGCUCUGGCUUCACCGCCUGGUGCUCAGACCCCUCCUUUUGGGCUGCAUCUUCUCCUGUUUCAUACUUUGCCCCUUGGCCCACCGUGCUCCCGACGAUGGUUCUUCCGUUCUUCUGCUCUCCUCUCACGAGCCUGAGCUGGGAGCCGCGUUGGAGAGACCACAUAGAGAAGACAGCCCGGGACAACCCCGGAGAAGAGCCCCAGCCUGCUUGUCACUCCCUUCAAGAACAAGACCAGGCAAUGGGCCACCCUGCAAAUUUCAGCCUGGCCAAGUCCCCGGAUGACUACAUGCAUACCUGUCUGACCUCACGUGACCAGAACCACCCAGCUGAGCCCAGUCAAGUCUCAGAAUCAACCCUCUACGAAACUGGUUUGGGGAGGGGGUUCGUCUGUGAGUUUAACCCAUGUGGGGGAGCUCAAGUAGGACUCGCCGCAGAUCCUCCUCAGCUGGAAGAUUCCAGUUCUGUCCCCGGCUGUGCCCCCCUCCACCCGGGGGCUCCCCUGACCCCCAAGGAAAAGCAGAAGGACGAAGUCCAGCCCUGCGGCAGCGUGAGGGUCACCCCCUGCAGGCCAGACGCUCUUUGCCUCGCCCCGGGUCCCCUGCCAGGCAGCCACUGCGUCUUCGAAGCUUGAGCCUGUGUUAACUGCUCUUAAAAAAAAAAUAUGUUUUAAAGCAAUAAAAUCUGUACAUUAA